AGCGAACGCUGGCGGCAUGCUUAACACAUGCAAGUCGCACGGAUCUUUCGGGCUCAGUGGCGGACGUGUGAGUAACGCGUAGGGAUCUAUCCAUGGGUGGGGGACACCUCCGUGAAACUGGAGCUAAUACCGCAUGAUACCUUAGGGUCAAAGGCGCAAGUCGCCUGUGGAGGACCCUGCGUUCGAUUAGCUAGUUGGUAGGGUAAAGGCCUACCAAGGCGAUGAUCGAGGGCUGGUUUGAGAGGAUGAUCAGCCACACUGGGACUGAGACACGGCCCAGACUCGUACGGGAGGCAGCAGUGGGGAAUAUUGGACAAGGGGCGAAAGCCUGAUACAGCAAUGCCGCGGGUGUGAAGAAGGUCUUCGGAUUGUAAAGCACUUUGGACGGGGACGAUGAUGACGGUAACCGUAGAAGAAGCCCCGGCUAACUUCGUG
RNAcentral lists this ribosomal RNA (435 nucleotides) under uncultured bacterium. Its description in RNAcentral is "partial 16S ribosomal RNA". It matches the Rfam family "Bacterial small subunit ribosomal RNA", at positions 29 to 507 of the family's 1533-position model. The record is from RNAcentral.